Molecule: long non-coding RNA, 572 nt
Filed under: Rattus norvegicus (Norway rat)
Lineage: Eukaryota; Metazoa; Chordata; Mammalia; Rodentia; Muridae
Description: long non-coding RNA NONRATT032392
Source: RNAcentral
CAUAGACAAUAAAAAUUGCUCAGUGACUUUUUCUAACCUUUCUAACCUGUAUUUUACUCCCCGAGACCACGCUCCACUUUGCAUUCAUAGACAAUGAGCCAGGAAACCUGAAAGGGUGCCACUCACGGCUAAGGACAGCUUCACCUAAAAGAAACAGCUACCGGUGCCAAACCUGUCUCCAGAAGUCUUGCAUUUUCCAGGCCCUGACCUUUAUGGAGAAAGUGCUAGGCACAGAGAGGAAGCUCAGCGGGGACUUCAAUACAACAGACUAAGCAAAGAAGCAGAGAGGUCCUUCUGAGCUGGUGUCACUUCUUGGGAAAAUAAUUCUGUUUAUGUAAGCACCUGUGUAACACAGCCUUACAAUGAUAAGGACUAUUGUUUUAUAUCCUUCCCAAGGUUCACUCUCUUUUACCUUAUAUGAUGUUAGGGGUUUCUGUAGGCAUCUUAAAGACAUCCUUACCUUGACAGAAGCCUCGUGACUUGGCUCGGAAGGCAGGAAGUAACAAUGCUAUCAGUUCUUUCUUCCUAUGUAUUUUCCCUCCUCAAAUGCUGUGCUACCUAGAAUACACAGG